UUGGAAAUUUAUUUUCAGUGUCGCAGGGAAACCGAUAAACACACCGCCUGGGGAGUACGACCGCAAGGUUAAAACUCAAAUGAAUUGACGGGGACCCGCACAAGUAGUGGAGCAUGUGGUUUAAUUCGAAGAUACGCGCAGAACCUUACCAACACUUGACAUGUUCGUCGCGACUCUAAGAGAUUAGAGUUUUCGGUUCGGCCGGACGAAACACAGGUGCUGCAUGGCUGUCGUCAGCUCGUGUCGUGAGAUGUUGGGUUAAGUCCCGCAACGAGCGCAACCCUCACUUUUAGUUGCCAUCAUUAAGUUGGGCACUCUGAAAGAACUGCCAGUGAUAAGCUGGAGGAAGGUGGGGAUGACGUCAAGUCCUCAUGGCCCUUACGUGUUGGGCUACACACGUGCUACAAUGGCAUCUACAACAGGAAGCAAAACGGCAACGUUAAGCAAAUCCCGAAAAGAUGCCUCAGUUCGGAUUGCACUCUGCAACUCGAGUGCAUGAAGCUGGAAUUACUAGUAAUCGUGGAUCAGCGUGCCACGGUGAAUGCGUUCCCGGGUCUUGUACACACCGCCCGUCACACCAUGGGAGUUGGUUCUACCUUAAGGCAAGGCUUUAAACCCUUGACCACGGUAUAGUCAGCGACUGGGGUG
RNAcentral lists this ribosomal RNA (648 nucleotides) under uncultured marine bacterium. RNAcentral describes it as "bacterial SSU rRNA". It matches the Rfam family "Bacterial small subunit ribosomal RNA", at positions 823 to 1482 of the family's 1533-position model. The record is from RNAcentral.